CCCUCACAAAUGAUAGCAGAUCCUCUACCAUUUCAAUGUAGGAACUCCAAAACUGGAAAGGCACUUUGGAGGUCAGCAGCAACUUUUAAAGCAGCUUCACGGCAGUCUUGAGAAAGGGUUUCAAGGUAAUCCCAGAUCCUCAGCCCUGCUGUGAGAUAUCUUCUUGACCUGAUCUGACUAAACCCUGACACAUCUAUUCUGCUGAAACAAUGAAAAUGCUCUUUGUUUUUCACGGUUCAUCAUAAAACCCUUUUAAUGUUUUGCUCAACUGUUUGGUGGCGUGCAUUUUCAGUCGCUAUAUGUUGAAAAAUUUGUCCACUAGAUGUCGCUGUGUCUAUAGUAG
This is a long non-coding RNA of Perca fluviatilis (European perch), 343 nucleotides long. RefSeq lists it as uncharacterized. The transcript has 3 exons. The record is from RefSeq and is a predicted model, not a curated record. Lineage: Eukaryota; Metazoa; Chordata; Actinopteri; Perciformes; Percidae.